RNAcentral lists this ribosomal RNA (503 nucleotides) under uncultured Glomus. RNAcentral's name for it is "SSU rRNA". It matches the Rfam family "Eukaryotic small subunit ribosomal RNA", at positions 569 to 1076 of the family's 1831-position model. Lineage: Eukaryota; Fungi; Glomeromycota; Glomeromycetes; Glomerales; Glomeraceae. The record is from RNAcentral.
AGCAGCCGCGGUAAUUCCAGCUCCAAUAGCGUAUAUUAAAGUUGUUGCAGUUAAAAAGCUCGUAGUUGAAUUUCGGGGUCAGUAGGUUGGUCGUGCCACUGGUAUGCACUGGUCUCACUGAUUCCUCCUUCCUGAUGAACCGUAAUGCCAUUAAUUUGGUGUUGCGGGGAAUCUGGACUGUUACUUUGAAAAAUUAGAGUGUUUAAAGCAGGCUAACGCCUGAAUACAUUAGCAUGGAAUAAUGAAAUAGGACGAUCGAUCCUAUUUUGUUGGUUUCUAGGAUUGACGUAAUGAUUAAUAGGGAUAGUUGGGGGCAUUAGUAUUCAAUUGUCAGAGGUGAAAUUCUUGGAUUUAUUGAAGACUAACUACUGCGAAAGCAUUUGCCGAGGAUGUUUUCAUUAAUCAAGAACGAAAGUUAGGGGAUCGAAGACGAUCAGAUACCGUCGUAGUCUUAACCAUAGACUAUGCCGACUAGGGAUCGGAUGAUGUUAAUUUUUAUGACU